RNAcentral lists this transfer RNA (71 nucleotides) under Marmota monax (woodchuck). It matches the Rfam family "tRNA". From Rfam's summary of the family: Transfer RNA (tRNA) molecules are approximately 80 nucleotides in length. Their secondary structure includes four short double-helical elements and three loops (D, anti-codon, and T loops). Further hydrogen bonds mediate the characteristic L-shaped molecular structure. tRNAs have two regions of fundamental functional importance: the anti-codon, which is responsible for specific mRNA codon recognition, and the 3' end, to which the tRNAs corresponding amino acid is attached (by aminoacyl-tRNA synthetases). tRNAs cope with the degeneracy of the genetic code in two manners: having more than one tRNA (with a specific anti-codon) for a particular amino acid; and 'wobble' base-pairing, i.e. permitting non-standard base-pairing at the 3rd anti-codon position. Lineage: Eukaryota; Metazoa; Chordata; Mammalia; Rodentia; Sciuridae. The record is from Rfam by way of RNAcentral.
GUGGUUGUGGCUCAGUGGUAGAGCACUUGUCUAGCACAUUCGAGGCACUGAGUUCAAUUCUCAGCACCAUA